Molecule: ribosomal RNA, 425 nt
Filed under: uncultured bacterium
Lineage: Bacteria
Description: bacterial SSU rRNA
Rfam family: Bacterial small subunit ribosomal RNA
Source: RNAcentral
UAACGAAUAUUGCCCAAUGGGCGCAAGCCUGAGGCAGCGACGCCGCGUGCGGGAGGAAGCCCUUCGGGGUGUAAACCGCUGUCAGGGAUUACCAAGCAAAGUGGGCGAAUAGCCCAUUGCGUUGAGGAGUCCCAGAGGAAGUCACGGCUAACUUCGUGCCAGCAGCCGCGGUAAGACGAAGGUGGCAAGCGUUGUUCGGAAUCACUGGGCUUAAAGAGCACGUAGGUGGAUUGGCAAGCGUCCUGUGAAAGCCCCCGGCUCAACCGGGGAAUUGCUCGGCGAACUGCUAGUCUUGAGGCAGGUAGGGGCGAGUGGAACUCUUGGUGGAGCGGUGGAAUGCGUAGAUAUCAAGAGGAACGCCGGAGGUGAAGACGACUCGCUGGGCCUGUCCUGACACUGAGGUGCGAAAGCCAGGGGAGCAAACG